This 158-nucleotide ribosomal RNA is filed under the name Pleosporales sp. MZC47m2. RNAcentral's name for it is "5.8S ribosomal RNA". It matches the Rfam family "5.8S ribosomal RNA". From Rfam's summary of the family: 5.8S ribosomal RNA (5.8S rRNA) is a component of the large subunit of the eukaryotic ribosome. The record is from RNAcentral. Lineage: Eukaryota; Fungi; Ascomycota; Dothideomycetes; Pleosporales.
CAACUUUCAACAAUGGAUCUCUUGGUUCUGGCAUCGAUGAAGAACGCAGCGAAAUGCGAUAAGUAGUGUGAAUUGCAGAAUUCAGUGAAUCAUCGAAUCUUUGAACGCACAUUGCGCCCCUUGGUAUUCCGAGGGGCAUGCCUGUUCGAGCGUCAUCU